UGCCGCGUAGCUCAAUGGCUAGAGCACCUCUCUUACAAAGAGACACGUGUCGGUUCGAAUCCGACCGCGGCGA
This 73-nucleotide transfer RNA is filed under the name Algisphaera agarilytica. It matches the Rfam family "tRNA". Rfam says of the family: Transfer RNA (tRNA) molecules are approximately 80 nucleotides in length. The record is from Rfam by way of RNAcentral. Lineage: Bacteria; Pseudomonadati; Planctomycetota; Phycisphaerae; Phycisphaerales; Phycisphaeraceae.